UAAUACGAAGGGCCCAAGCGUUAAUCGGAAUCACUGGGCUUAAAGAGUACGUAGGCGGACCAGUAGGUGCUUUGUGAAAUCCCUCGGCUCAACCGAGGAACUGCAGGGCAAACCAUUGGUCUAGAGACAGGUAGGGGUCGUCGGAACGCUAGGUGGAGUGGUGAUAUGCGUUGAUAUCUAGCGGAACGCCGAAGGAGAAGUCAGGCGACUGGGCCUGUUCUGACGCUGAGGUACGAAAGCGUGGGGAGCGAACGGGAUUAGAUACCCCGGUAGUCCACGCCGUAAACGAUGCGCACUAGGUUGGAGAGGUUCCGACACCAUUUCCGGCCGAAGCAAAAGUGUUAAGUGCGCCGCCUGGGGAGUACGGUCGCAAGGCUA
This 378-nucleotide ribosomal RNA is filed under the name uncultured Planctomycetota bacterium. RNAcentral describes it as "bacterial SSU rRNA". It matches the Rfam family "Bacterial small subunit ribosomal RNA", at positions 521 to 896 of the family's 1533-position model. The record is from RNAcentral. Lineage: Bacteria; Pseudomonadati; Planctomycetota.